RNAcentral lists this long non-coding RNA (212 nucleotides) under Marmota monax (woodchuck). Lineage: Eukaryota; Metazoa; Chordata; Mammalia; Rodentia; Sciuridae. The record is from RNAcentral.
UGGAGAUAGUAAGUUUUGGAGUCAAAAGGAACCGUACAUGUCAUGUAGCUAAAGUCCUCCUGUGGCAAAUGAGAAAACCAAGAUCAAGACUAACGAUGGAGUCUGUAAAUUCCUGCUAUCCUGGCACUGUGUACAGGACCCUUUCCAACAGAGGAGAUGCUUAUCCAGCUCCAAAAUUCCCCCCAAACCGCCUUGCAAGCAGGUACAUUCCU